Molecule: non-coding RNA, 26 nt
Filed under: Cricetulus griseus (Chinese hamster)
Lineage: Eukaryota; Metazoa; Chordata; Mammalia; Rodentia; Cricetidae
Source: RNAcentral
GGGGGCUGAAGAGAUGGCUCAGAGGU